RNAcentral lists this ribosomal RNA (497 nucleotides) under uncultured bacterium. Its description in RNAcentral is "partial 16S ribosomal RNA". It matches the Rfam family "Bacterial small subunit ribosomal RNA", at positions 28 to 507 of the family's 1533-position model. The record is from RNAcentral.
GAUGAACGCUGGCGGUGUGCCUAAUACAUGCCAGUCGAGCGAACAGACGAGGAGCUUACUCCUCUGACGUUAGCGGCGGACGGGUGAGUAACACGUGGAUAACCUACCUAUAAGACUGGGAUAACUUCGGGAAACCGGAGCUAAUACCGGAUAACAUGUUGAACCGCAUGGUUCAACAGUGAAAGACGGUCUUGCUGUCACUUAUAGAUGGAUCCGCGUCGCAUUAGCUAGUUGGUAAGGUAACGGCUUACCAAGGCAACGAUGCGUAGCCGACCUGAGAGGGUGAUCGGCCACACUGGAACUGAGACACGGUCCAGACUCCUACGGGAGGCAGCAGUAGGGAAUCUUCCGCAAUGGGCGAAAGCCUGACGGAGCAACGCCGCGUGAGUGAAGAAGGUCUUCGGAUCGUAAAACUCUGUUAUUAGGGAAGAACAAGUGUGUAAGUAACUAUGCACGUCUUGACGGUACCUAAUCAGAAAGCCACGGCUAACUACGUG